RNAcentral lists this ribosomal RNA (492 nucleotides) under uncultured bacterium. RNAcentral describes it as "partial 16S ribosomal RNA". It matches the Rfam family "Bacterial small subunit ribosomal RNA", at positions 29 to 507 of the family's 1533-position model. The record is from RNAcentral.
AGUGAACGCUGGCGGUAGGCCUAACACAUGCAAGUCGAACGGCAGCACAGUAAGAGCUUGCUCUUACGGGUGGCGAGUGGCGGACGGGUGAGGAAUACAUCGGAAUCUACUUUUUCGUGGGGGAUAACGUAGGGAAACUUACGCUAAUACCGCAUACGACCUACGGGUGAAAGCAGGGGAUCUUCGGACCUUGCGCGAUUGAAUGAGACGAUGUCGGAUUAGCUAGUUGGCGGGGUAAAGGCCCACCAAGGCGACGAUCCGUAGCUGGUCUGAGGGGAUGAUCAGCCGCACUGGAACUGAGACACGGUCCAGACUCCUACGGGAGGCAGCAGUGGGGAAUAUUGGACAAUGGGCGCAAGCCUGAUCCAGCCAUACCGCGUGGGUGAAGAAGGCCUUCGGGUUGUAAAGCCCUUUUGUUGGGAAAGAAAAGCAGCAGGUUAAUACCCCGCUGUUCUGACGGUACCCAAAGAAUAAGCACCGGCUAACUUCGUG